GGCCGAGGUCAGAGAACAUGCUGCAUUGAGGAACAGGCCUAUGUGGGCUGGUACAGGAAGGUGGGAGAGAGGGCAGGGGUCGGACCACAGCCUCACUAGGACCACACAGACUUCUCAGAACGGGACAAAGAGCUUACAGCUCCUUUGAAAGCUGAUGGUCAAAUGUUCUAGGUAGAGGUGGCCAGGAUCAGGCUCAUGUCUUAUGGUCAGGAGUGCUGUGAGAGGACUCGUGGGAGGUGCGGAGAGGGGUGACGAGGGCAGGGGCAGGAGGCGGCUCACGGUGCGCUGCUACGACAGAAAGGCCAUGCAGAAGGGCGGCUGUGGGGGCCGUCACGGAAGUUCGGCAACCUUACUGUCCCGUCUGUGAGUGGGCAGGGCCUGCCAGGACCACACCCACAGCGAGACAAUGUGGCCGACCUCAUGGGGGCCAGGCUCACAAACAGGCUGCUGGCCGUGAGGCAGACAGCCUGCCACGAGCACCAGGCACACGCAAGUCAUCAUGCCAGGUUGGGGCCGCAGAGACCCUGCCCUUUGAAGUGGUUCAGCUGGGACUCGGAUCCAGAGCAUUUUUAGUUCCGGAGCACAUGACUGUGAUCCCUUAUAUGCAAAGCGCCUGA
RNAcentral lists this long non-coding RNA (617 nucleotides) under Fukomys damarensis (Damara mole-rat). RNAcentral's name for it is "lncRNA (ENSFDAG00000026989.1)". Lineage: Eukaryota; Metazoa; Chordata; Mammalia; Rodentia; Bathyergidae. The record is from RNAcentral.